CCAUAAAAAUUUUACUACAAUUGGACCAUAGGAACUACAUAUAUGAAUUAUUUUAAUUAAUUACAGAAAAACAUAGAUUUAAAGCUACAGAAAAAACUUUGUACUAAAGUAUAUCAUAUUAUAUAUUCACUAUGUAGAUCUACUCAUCAGGAGUCCAACAAAAUUGAAUUUUUUAUUUUAUGAUUUUUAUGUGAUUUAUUAUGAUUUUUCAAAGAUUCAGCAAAAAUAAAUAAAAAAGAAAAAAACAAAACCACCCUCUAAAACCACUCGAGGGGGUUAUUUGACCGGUUUUGAAAGUUCAGGGGGUAGAAUAUCCGGUUUUAUACUUUGGGGGGUAAAGUAUUCCAGCUUAGAUAGUUUGGGGGAUUAUGUAAACUUUUUCCAAAACAAAAACUAAUUACACAGUUUAGCUGUAAAUUACGAGACAAAUCUUUUGAUCCUAGUUAGUUUAUGAUUGGAUAAUAUUUGUCACAAAUAAACGAAAUGCUACAGUAUCGAAAACUUUUCACU
RNAcentral lists this long non-coding RNA (510 nucleotides) under Sorghum bicolor (sorghum). RNAcentral's name for it is "long non-coding RNA (SBIC_LNC005812)". The record is from RNAcentral. Lineage: Eukaryota; Viridiplantae; Streptophyta; Magnoliopsida; Poales; Poaceae.